UAUUGUCAACCCAAUUCCUGUUUGCUUUAUUUCUCAAAGCCCCAAGACGAUCUACAAUUUCUUCGAGAUUCGAUACGCUCGAAUCUAAGAUCCAUCCAUUGCUCCCAUCGUUGUAACGUUUUGUGCCUAUGGUAAAGGGCUCUAGUUCCUUUAUCACCGUCGCAAGAACUACUGUAAUCGCCACCUCUAUCAAGGUGAGCCAUCUCGAUUAGGGCGAUUUUCCUGCUCUAAUACCACCUGAUGCAGCGAAGUUAGAUAAAUCAUUCACACACACGUGAGAAAGAAUUUGAGAGUAAAAUCUCUGCUGGAAAUUUAUUAAUUGAAAUUUGAAUUUAAAAUACAUAGUUUUAGGAGUAUUUAUAGAGUUUUAGACU
This 374-nucleotide unclassified non-coding RNA is filed under the name Hevea brasiliensis (rubber tree). Lineage: Eukaryota; Viridiplantae; Streptophyta; Magnoliopsida; Malpighiales; Euphorbiaceae. The record is from RNAcentral.